UACGUAGGGUGCAGGCGUUAAUCGGAAUUACUGGGCGUAAAGCGUGCGCAGGCGGUCUCUUAAGACAGGUGUGAAAUCCCCGAGCUUAACUUGGGAACUGCGCUUGUAACUGAGAGGCUAGAGUGUGGCAGAGGGGGGGUGGAAUUCCACGUGUAGCAGUGAAAUGCGUAGAGAUGUGGAGGAACACCGAUGGCGAAGGCAGCCCCCUGGGCUAACACUGACGCUCAUGCACGAAAGCGUGGGGAGCAAACAGG
This 254-nucleotide ribosomal RNA is filed under the name uncultured bacterium. RNAcentral describes it as "partial 16S ribosomal RNA". It matches the Rfam family "Bacterial small subunit ribosomal RNA", at positions 524 to 776 of the family's 1533-position model. The record is from RNAcentral.